GAUGAACGCUGGCGGCGUGCCUAAUACAUGCAAGUCGAGCGAACGGACGAGAAGCUUGCUUCGCUGAUGUUAGCGGCGGACGGGUGAGUAACACGUGGAUAACCUACCUAUAAGACUGGGAUAACUUCGGGAAACCGUAGCUAAUACCGGAGAAUAUUUUGAACCGCAUGGUUCAAAAGUGAAAGACGGUCUUGCUGUCACUUAUAGAUGGAUCCGCGCUGCAUUAGCUAGUUGGUAAGGUAACGGCUUACCAAGGCAACGAUGCGUAGCCGACCUGAGAGGGCGAUCGGCCACACUGGAACUGAGACACGGUCCAGACUCCUACGGGAGGCAGCAGUAGGGAAUCUUCCGCAAUGGGCGAAAGCCUGACGGAGCAACGCCGCGUGAGUGAUGAAGGUCUUCGGAUCGUAAAACUCUGUUAUUAGGGAAGAACAUAUGUGUAAGUAACUGUGCACAUCUUGACGGUACCUAAUCAGAAAGCCACGGCUAACUACGUG
This 497-nucleotide ribosomal RNA is filed under the name uncultured bacterium. RNAcentral describes it as "partial 16S ribosomal RNA". It matches the Rfam family "Bacterial small subunit ribosomal RNA", at positions 28 to 507 of the family's 1533-position model. The record is from RNAcentral.